UGGGGAAUUUUGGACAAUGGGCGAAAGCCUGAUCCAGCCAUGCCGCGUGAGUGAAGAAGGCCUUCGGGUUGUAAAGCUCUUUCAGACGGAAAGAAAUCUCUCAGGAUAAUACCUUGGGAGGAUGACGGUACCGUAAGAAGAAGCACCGGCUAACUACGUGCCAGCAGCCGCGGUAAUACGUAGGGUGCGAGCGUUAAUCGGAAUUACUGGGCGUAAAGCGUGCGCAGGCGGUGAUGUAAGACAGAUGUGAAAUCCCCGGGCUCAACCUGGGAACUGCGUUUGUGACUGCAUCACUCGAGUACGGCAGAGGGAGGUGGAAUUCCGCGUGUAGCAGUGAAAUGCGUAGAGAUGCGGAGGAACACCGAUGGCGAAGGCAGCCUCCUGGGCCAGUACUGACGCUCAUGCACGAAAGCGUGGGGAGCAAACA
Molecule: ribosomal RNA, 427 nt
Filed under: uncultured prokaryote
Description: bacterial SSU rRNA
Rfam family: Bacterial small subunit ribosomal RNA
Source: RNAcentral